CCUACGGGAGGCAGCAGUGGGGAAUUUUGGACAAUGGGCGCAAGCCUGAUCCAGCAAUGCCGCGUGAGUGAAGAAGGCCUUCGGGUUGUAAAGCUCUUUUGUCAGGGAAGAAACGGUGGGGGCUAAUAUCUCCUACUAAUGACGGUACCUGAAGAAUAAGCACCGGCUAACUACGUGCCAGCAGCCGCGGUAAUACGUAGGGUGCAAGCGUUAAUCGGAAUUACUGGGCGUAAAGCGUGCGCAGGCGGUUUUGUAAGUCUGUCGUGAAAGCCCCGGGCUCAACCUGGGAAUUGCGAUGGAGACUGCAAGGCUUGAAUCUGGCAGAGGGGGGUAGAAUUCCACGUGUAGCAGUGAAAUGCGUAGAGAUGUGGAGGAACACCGAUGGCGAAGGCAGCCCCCUGGGUCAAGAUUGACGCUCAUGCACGAAAGCGUGGGGAGCAAACAGGAUUAGAUACCCUGGUAGUCCACGCCCUAAACGAUGUCUACUAGUUGUCGGGUUUUAAUUAACUUGGUAACGCAGCUAACGCGUGAAGUAGACCGCCUGGGGAGUACGGUCGCAAGNUUAAAACUCAAAUGAAUUGACGG
RNAcentral lists this ribosomal RNA (585 nucleotides) under uncultured bacterium. RNAcentral describes it as "bacterial SSU rRNA". It matches the Rfam family "Bacterial small subunit ribosomal RNA", at positions 338 to 916 of the family's 1533-position model. The record is from RNAcentral.